This is a long non-coding RNA of Monodelphis domestica (gray short-tailed opossum), 1067 nucleotides long. RefSeq lists it as uncharacterized. NCBI's taxonomy places the organism in Eukaryota, Metazoa, Chordata, Mammalia, Didelphimorphia, Didelphidae. The record is from RefSeq and is a predicted model, not a curated record.
AAGGGCGAACUACCAGAGAGUUUGGCUAUAGGAAAGGCCGAAUUAACCCUGAAAGGAAAUACUCUUGGCAGGAACGAGGGCCCGACCACCUACACACCGCCCUUCUCUAUUAUCUUCCCCUCUCCAGGGCCCCGGUUUGCGUGAAUACAGUCCCCCAACUACCACAAUUACACUGCUGAGUUUUCCACAUUUGAGGAAAUGGCAGGAGUCAGUGCAGUGGAAAAGUCUCAAUCUGGGGAAACUACCUUUGCGAUUAAGGAAUCACCCCAGAGAGAACUUUCUGUCAUCACUUUUAAAUGUCUAUGGGACACACAAACCAUAAAAAAAAAUGAUCAUCUACUAACAAGUACAUUUUCCCCCAUCCCCUGCAAAAAAAAGAAGAGAGGAAAGAGAAUUAUACACAUAGAAGAGAACACAGCUCAGUAUUUGCAGGAGUUAAUGAGUAGACUGUCACAGAGAAUUAGCAUCUAGAAAAGACAUCAGAGGCGGUAAUAUUAUUAUGUAUCAUGCUGGGUAUGGGAAAAAUACAAUAAAACAUUGUAAAACUAUAAAUAAAAAGAUUACGCUUACUUUUAAAAUGUUUUAGUGAUGUAUUUUGCCUAUACGUAGUAAUUUCUCACAUAACCUCCCCAUAAUGAACCCUUUCUCCCUAUCCUAUAGAAUAACCAUCCCUUUUGACACAAAGUAGCAAUUAAGCAAAAAAUACCGACAGAAAAAUCUACUAAAAAAAUAGAAAAAAAAAACAAACAAGGGCAGUCUGAGUUAUGCAUUUCAACAAUUAGUUAUGGAUAUAUUCAUACAAGAGAAGAUGAGAAUGACUGCCCUCAUCAAAGAUUUAGUCUUUGAAUUAAUGACACUUCCUAUAGCAGUAGAAAAAGAAUGCAUUGCUUAGCUCAAGAGAUACAAAACCUGACUUGAGUUAACAGACUCCCUGAAAACCAGAAUAAACUAAAUAGAACUUAAUGACUUUAUGAGAUAAUAAGGAAUAUUAAAACAAAGUCAAAAGAUUGAAAAAAUGGGGGGAGAGUAUAAUAACUUUACAUAAAACCCAACUUAUUUACUCAAAA